RNAcentral lists this ribosomal RNA (253 nucleotides) under uncultured bacterium. RNAcentral describes it as "partial 16S ribosomal RNA". It matches the Rfam family "Bacterial small subunit ribosomal RNA", at positions 524 to 776 of the family's 1533-position model. The record is from RNAcentral.
GACGUAGGGGGCGAGCGUUGUCCGGAUUCAUUGGGCGUAAAGCGCGCGUAGGCGGCCGCGCAAGUCGGGUGUGAAAAUCCGGGGCUCAACCCCGGACCUGCACUCGAUACUGCGUAGCUAGAGGUAGGUAGGGGAGAUCGGAAUUCCUGGUGUAGCGGUGAAAUGCGCAGAUAUCAGGAGGAACACCGGUGGCGAAGGCGGAUCUCUGGGCCUUACCUGACGCUGAGGUGCGAAAGCUAGGGGAGCGAACAGG